AGUGAACGCUGGCGGUAGGCCUAACACAUGCAAGUCGAACGGCAGCACAGUAAGAGCUUGCUCUUACGGGUGGCGAGUGGCGGACGGGUGAGGAAUACAUCGGAAUCUACUUUUUCGCGGGGGAUAACGUAGGGAAACUUACGCUAAUACCGCAUACGACCUACGGGUGAAAGCAGGGGAUCUUCGGACCUUGCGCGAUUGAAUGCGCCGAUGUCGGAUUAGCUAGUUGGCGGGGUAAAGGCCCACCAAGGCGACGAUCCGUAGCUGGUCUGAGAGGAUGAUCAGCCACACUGGAACUGAGACACGGUCCAGACUCCUACGGGAGGCAGCAGUGGGGAAUAUUGGACAAUGGGCGCAAGCCUGAUCCAGCCAUACCGCGUGGGUGAAGAAGGCCUUCGGGUUGUAAAGCCCUUUUGUUGGGAAAGAAAAGCAGCAGGUUAAUACCCCGCUGUUCUGACGGUACCCAAAGAAUAAGCACCGGCUAACUUCGUG
RNAcentral lists this ribosomal RNA (492 nucleotides) under uncultured bacterium. Its description in RNAcentral is "partial 16S ribosomal RNA". It matches the Rfam family "Bacterial small subunit ribosomal RNA", at positions 29 to 507 of the family's 1533-position model. The record is from RNAcentral.